UUUAAGUAUAUGAGGUGAUUAAUUGGAGGGCAAAUCAAGUGCCAGCAGCCGCGGUAAUACUUGUUCCAAGAGUGUGUAUGAUGAUUGAUGCAGUUAAAAAGUCCGUAGUUUAUUUUUUAAAAAGGUGUAGGAUUGGGAAAAAAGAAUGUGACACCCAA
Molecule: ribosomal RNA, 158 nt
Filed under: Vairimorpha ceranae
Lineage: Eukaryota; Fungi; Microsporidia; Nosematidae
Description: Nosema ceranae partial small subunit ribosomal RNA
Rfam family: Microsporidia small subunit ribosomal RNA
Source: RNAcentral